GGGGAUUUAGCUCAGUGGCAUAAGUGCCUGCCUGGCAAGCACGAGGUCAUUAUUCAAUCCCCA
This 63-nucleotide transfer RNA is filed under the name Cavia porcellus (domestic guinea pig). It matches the Rfam family "tRNA". Rfam says of the family: Transfer RNA (tRNA) molecules are approximately 80 nucleotides in length. Their secondary structure includes four short double-helical elements and three loops (D, anti-codon, and T loops). Further hydrogen bonds mediate the characteristic L-shaped molecular structure. tRNAs have two regions of fundamental functional importance: the anti-codon, which is responsible for specific mRNA codon recognition, and the 3' end, to which the tRNAs corresponding amino acid is attached (by aminoacyl-tRNA synthetases). tRNAs cope with the degeneracy of the genetic code in two manners: having more than one tRNA (with a specific anti-codon) for a particular amino acid; and 'wobble' base-pairing, i.e. permitting non-standard base-pairing at the 3rd anti-codon position. The record is from Rfam by way of RNAcentral. Lineage: Eukaryota; Metazoa; Chordata; Mammalia; Rodentia; Caviidae.